CGGCGACUCCCUCAUUCCCUCCCUCCGGUGUCGGUCGGUCCGCCCGUGCGUGCGUCUGUCCGUUCGGCCUCCGUCCGGCCCGCAGCAUGGCCGGCGUCAGCUUCAGCGGCCACCGCCUGGAGCUGCUGGCGGCGUACGAGGAGGUGAUCCGGGAGGAGAGUGCAGCCGACUGGUCUCCGACUCAGCGGAAAUGAUGCCUGGCCUCCUCAUGACCCACCAACGAUCAAAGCUUACCCCUCCUCAUCCUGUUCUGCCCUGCCUGCCCCCUCUGGUGUCACUCUCCCUUUCUAGUGCCUUCUCCACCCAAAAUUGGCUGCCUAGAUCCUGACAGUUCUGAGCCACUCCUCCCUCUCCUCAGGGCUCUGUACACUUACGAAGAUGGCUCAGAUGACCUCAAGCUUGCAGCAUCAGGAG
Molecule: long non-coding RNA, 414 nt
Filed under: Rattus norvegicus (Norway rat)
Lineage: Eukaryota; Metazoa; Chordata; Mammalia; Rodentia; Muridae
Description: long non-coding RNA NONRATT012273
Source: RNAcentral